This is a long non-coding RNA of Monomorium pharaonis (pharaoh ant), 1847 nucleotides long. RefSeq lists it as uncharacterized. The transcript is spliced from 2 exons. The record is from RefSeq and is a predicted model, not a curated record. Lineage: Eukaryota; Metazoa; Arthropoda; Insecta; Hymenoptera; Formicidae.
UGUUACAUAAACAUCGUCCGUGUCAUCUUUCGACAAUAGAUAUACAAAAUUGGCGCCUAAAAAUUUGACGAGUUAUUCAUGAACUAAACCGCACACUCUCCUUACUAACGUAAAAUUAAGAGAAGUGAAAAAAAGAGUUUCUUUUUAAUUCAUACGUUUUUACAAAGCAAAGUAAUUAUGCAUUGCGCGUAAUUCGCAAAAAAACUCGUCUAAAGAACAGCGAAACAAAUAAAAAAGAAACCUUGACUUCUUACAUAAUUGCUUCACAUUUGCGCAUUAUCGUUAAAUAUUGGUAUGGAUGCGUCGAAGUGAGAUAUCAACCUUAUCGAAAGAAUAUUUUUGAGAGGAGCAAACAUUUUUCUUCUUUAUCAAAUCUCAACGCAAUAAACGUAUCUCAAUAAAAAUUUUACUACUACAAUUUUGUUUUUAUAACAAUGAUAAACGUAUAAGCGCGUAGGAAAAUGAGGAGGAAGAAUAGCAACGUAAAUUCGUAUUAGUACGCGCGCGAGGUAGAGCGUUAAGCCACGCGGUUAUGAAGAAAUUCCGUAACGUAACGGUAUCCGUACAAGGGUCAUUCGCCGCGCACCAAAGACCGGCCGGGUUCUCGGUUUCUCGUUUAAACGUGCUCGAAAAAAGAAAAAGAAAACCGGAAAGAAAUCCUUCAGGCAAUUAAUCGACGAAUGCAAAAUGAAUUGAUCACCGUGAAUCGCGCGCUGUCGCGAUGUUAAGACUCGAUGAGCGCUCAAAAGUUAUUUGCGAGCAAGUUGCAAAUUUUUUUCGUCCGUUUCCACCUGUGUGAAUUGUCUCCAAUCUCAGUUUGUAAUUUACGCUUUAUCUUUCUCCGAUUUUUAAAGAUUCCUGAGAGAGAUAAAGUGAACCGAUAAAAUUAAUCUGGCGAAAACGGACGUUCGCAAAUUACGCGCAUCAGAAAGGGCGUAUCAAAAAGAAAAAACAAAUUCAAAAGGAAGAAGCUUCGGCGCGUAUCGAACAAUCGAAAUUGUUUGCACAGGCGCGUUGUCAUUAAACUUAUCUACUGCGUAUUGCGUUUCGGGCAAUGUGAUAUGCGAAUUGCGCAUCUACCACGUGCUGAUGCAUGCGUUUCGCACACAUCUUUUUCUUUUAAUCGCGCUUAUCUCGCGUGCGAUACAAAGAUAAAAUUCAUUUUAAAUAUUUCAGGCGAUCAGAUCGAUCGAGCGAUCGAACGGAUCGAAUGCAAUACGGACAAUCGUUCUAGCGACUCGAGGUUAUAAUGCGCGAAACCACGUGGGUAAUCGGCGCACCAUAUGUUAAAAGUGACACAUGGGCAAAAUUGUCUCAAAGAGAUGCAUCAUUCGCCUCCGGAACGCUGUCUGUGAAAUAAUUCUCGCUAAGACCUAGUUUUCAAAAGAAUAGGACGUUAAUUAAUGUUAUCGUUAUAUCUGAUAGCGGUUCCUGCGUUUUUAAACGACAUAGUUUUCACAAUGAUUCGUUAUAGCCUCUGUCCUUCGAACGAUCUGUUUUGAUAAAAAUUAUAGAUUGUUCAGAGCUUAGUAUUGCAAUGAAAACGAUAUAGUAUGCAAUAAAAAAUGAGUAAAUAAAUAAAGAACUCUACUCUUGGCGUCUGUGAGAGCACAUGGCAUAUGCUUGUACCAUAUGUUGACAUGAAUUAAAAUUUCAAACCAAGUGUAUCAAGAUUGAGCAAUGAAGCGCAGAAAUGUUACUGCAACGAUUAUUAUUGAAAUCACAAUUUUAAACAUAUUAUUAAUUGAAAUAACUAAUGCCAAAACUCCUGUCACAUCACAUUAUGACUGCUUGUUGAACAGGUUACAUUGUAUAAUAAAUAUCCAAUAAAAAAUAAUCAUUCUCUG